GAAUAUUGGUCAAUGGGUGAGAGCCUGAACCAGCCAUGCCGCGUGCAGGAAGAAGGCCUUCUGGGUUGUCAACUGCUUUUGCCAGGGGAUAAAAAUACCUUGCGAGGUAAAUUGAAGGUACCUGGUGAAUACGCAACGGCUAACUACGUGCCAGCAGCCGCGGUAAUACGUAGGUGGCAAGCUUUGUCCGGAUUUAUUGGGUUUAAGGGGUGCGUAGGCGGCCCUGUAAGUCAGUGCUGAAAUAUCCCAGCUUAACUGGGAGGGUGGCAUUGAUACUGCGGGGCUAGAGUACAGAUGAGGUAGGCGGAAUUGACGGUGUAGCGGUGAAAUGCUUAGAUAUCGUCAAGAACACCUAUAGCGAAGGCAGCUUACUAGGCUGUAACUGACGCUGAGGCACGAAAGUGUGGGGAUCAAACAGG
This 419-nucleotide ribosomal RNA is filed under the name uncultured bacterium. RNAcentral describes it as "bacterial SSU rRNA". It matches the Rfam family "Bacterial small subunit ribosomal RNA", at positions 359 to 776 of the family's 1533-position model. The record is from RNAcentral.